ACGGAGACGCCAAAGAAAUAUUAAAACGAGUGUCACAUACUGUGUGUGAACAUGGCACACGGUCCUGCUACAUGACUGUUCAUUCUUACCCUGGUAACUCUUUAACACAGUACGACUCCCUUUAUGCCGGACUUUGCACCUGUUCGUUGAAGAGCCAGUUUUGUCAUCACCGGUACCUGCUGGCACUCUGACACUGCGCACGAUAAUCUGUGAAAGCUUCCUGGGUUGCUAUGAGAAGAGACUGUGGACCUACCCCUCUCUUGUCAUUGGGCCACUGUAAUACCUUGCAGCCAAUAAAGCACCACUAGGGCCUGUGUA
Molecule: long non-coding RNA, 318 nt
Organism: Mugil cephalus (flathead mullet)
Lineage: Eukaryota; Metazoa; Chordata; Actinopteri; Mugiliformes; Mugilidae
Exons: 2
Source: RefSeq, a predicted model, not a curated record